GGUGCUGCUGGCAAACCAGCCCGCAGGUCGGGUUUGUGCUUUGCGGUGAUGAAAGCCAGGUGUGGGCAUCGCCCUCUGCCAACCGGGGGACUGCCAGCCCUGCCCAGAUACCAUAGUGGGUGGCACUUCAUAACGACACAGACAGAGAGAACCCAUUCCAGACCAGUGCCCUGGUGUUUGGAGAUCUGGAUUGCAGCUGCUCUGACUCUGAAUUUACUCCCCUCGCUAGGAGAUCCGGAAGUUGGCACUCAGCCU
RNAcentral lists this long non-coding RNA (255 nucleotides) under Chrysemys picta bellii (western painted turtle). RNAcentral describes it as "lncRNA (ENSCPBG00000021604.1)". Lineage: Eukaryota; Metazoa; Chordata; Testudines; Emydidae. The record is from RNAcentral.